GACGAACGCUGGCGGCGUGCUUAACACAUGCAAGUCGAACGGAAAGGCCCUGCUUUUGUGGGGUGCUCGAGUGGCGAACGGGUGAGUAACACGUGAGUAACCUGCCCUUGACUUUGGGAUAACUUCAGGAAACUGGGGCUAAUACCGGAUAGGAGCUCCUGCUGCAUGGUGGGGGUUGGAAAGUUUCGGCGGUUGGGGAUGGACUCGCGGCUUAUCGGCUUGUUGGUGGGGUAGUGGCUUACCAAGGCUUUGACGGGUAGCCGGCCUGAGAGGGUGACCGGCCACAUUGGGACUGAGAUACGGCCCAGACUCCUACGGGAGGCAGCAGUGGGGAAUAUUGCACAUUGGGCGGAAGCCUGAUGCAGCAACGCCGCGUGCGGGAUGACGGCCUUCGGGUUGUAAACCGCUUUCGCCUGUGACGAAGCGUGAGUGACGGUAAUGGGUAAAGAAGCACCGGCUAACUACGUG
RNAcentral lists this ribosomal RNA (468 nucleotides) under uncultured bacterium. RNAcentral's name for it is "partial 16S ribosomal RNA". It matches the Rfam family "Bacterial small subunit ribosomal RNA", at positions 28 to 507 of the family's 1533-position model. The record is from RNAcentral.